CGGAGGAAGAACUAACAAGGAUUCCCCUAGUAACGGCGAGUGAAGCGGGAUGAGCUCAAGCUUAAAAUCUCUGUCACAUAUUUAUUAUGUGCGGCGAAUUGUAGUCUAUAGAAGCGUGGUCAGUGUAGGCACUUGAGAUAAGUUCCUUGAAAAAGGACAGCAUGGAGGGUGAAACUCCCGUUCAUACUUGAGUAGCUUAUGCGUACGACCCGUUUUCUUUGAGUCGCGUUGUUUGAGAAUGCAGCGCAAAGUAGGUGGUAAAUUCCAUCUAAAGCUAAAUAUUGGUGCGAGACCGAUAGCGAACAAGUACCGUGAGGGAAAGAUGAAAAGAACUUUGAAAAGAGAGUUAAAGAGUACCUGAAACUGCUGAAAGGGAACCGGAUCGUUUCUAGUGUCUAUAAUCUGUGACAUAUUUCAUUGGGGAGUGUGUGCGUGUGUAUACUAUGGCAGUGGCUUUUUUGGCUGCGCUUGGUGUGCGUGCUGUAUGUGCUUACUGGUGCCCUGUGUUGCGGUGGGACGUCAAGGUCGGUUUGUAUACUGCGGGAAAUGGCUAUUGAGGAGGUAGGGCUUACGCUUGCGUUUGUCUAUUAUAUCUUGGUAGUUGUGUCGUGGUUGAGACUGAGGUGUCUACAACGUGCUUAUGAGUGGGACUGUGUCUCCGUGUGCGCCGUGUGCGGAUAGCUUGCUAUGUGUGUGUGGUGGUGUGUGGAUUGAUGCGGGCUUUAACUUGUUGCCGUUCGGGACGUUGGCGAAAUAGAGCGAUUUGACCCGUCUUGAAACACGGACCAAGGAGUCUAACAUGUGUGCAAGUGUUAGGGUGUGGAAACCCAAGCGCGAAAUGAAAGUAAAGGAUAGUGUAAACUGUCUGAGGUAGGAAAUGCUGCGGAUUUCGGUCUGUGGCGUGGCACUAUCGACCGAUCAUGAACCUUCGUGGUGAAAGAUUUGAGUUUGAGCACAUAUGUUGGUACCCGAAAGAUGGUGAACUAUGCCUGAGUAGGGUGAAGCCAGGGGAAACUCUGG
This 1020-nucleotide ribosomal RNA is filed under the name Hyaloperonospora arabidopsidis. Its description in RNAcentral is "LSU rRNA". It matches the Rfam family "Eukaryotic large subunit ribosomal RNA", at positions 51 to 867 of the family's 3401-position model. Lineage: Eukaryota; Oomycota; Peronosporomycetes; Peronosporales; Peronosporaceae. The record is from RNAcentral.